AAGCAAAGUCUAAAUCUUCCCCCUGUUGAAUCAUGAUAUAUUCACUUAAUUUAACUACAACAUUUGCUUUAGAGCAUCCUUCAAAAUCCGAGCUCAUGAUCAAUAAAAGAACAGUAACACCAUAAAACUUGCCACUACAUAAAAGACACUCUCCAAAUCAAGAAUUAAGACACAAUUGUUAUAAAGAACAAGCAUGCGAAAUUUACCUCCACCAACACCAUCA
RNAcentral lists this unclassified non-coding RNA (223 nucleotides) under Hevea brasiliensis (rubber tree). Lineage: Eukaryota; Viridiplantae; Streptophyta; Magnoliopsida; Malpighiales; Euphorbiaceae. The record is from RNAcentral.